This 77-nucleotide transfer RNA is filed under the name Stenotrophomonas phage vB_SmaS-DLP_6. RNAcentral describes it as "tRNA-Thr". It matches the Rfam family "tRNA". From Rfam's summary of the family: Transfer RNA (tRNA) molecules are approximately 80 nucleotides in length. Their secondary structure includes four short double-helical elements and three loops (D, anti-codon, and T loops). Further hydrogen bonds mediate the characteristic L-shaped molecular structure. tRNAs have two regions of fundamental functional importance: the anti-codon, which is responsible for specific mRNA codon recognition, and the 3' end, to which the tRNAs corresponding amino acid is attached (by aminoacyl-tRNA synthetases). tRNAs cope with the degeneracy of the genetic code in two manners: having more than one tRNA (with a specific anti-codon) for a particular amino acid; and 'wobble' base-pairing, i.e. permitting non-standard base-pairing at the 3rd anti-codon position. Lineage: Duplodnaviria; Heunggongvirae; Uroviricota; Caudoviricetes. The record is from RNAcentral.
GCUCCAUUAGUCUAAUGGUAUGACAGCUGUUUCGUAAUCAGCUGGCGGGGGUUCGAUUCCCUCAUGGAGCACCACCC